This is a non-coding RNA of Poecilia reticulata (guppy), 398 nucleotides long. The record is from RefSeq and is a predicted model, not a curated record. NCBI's taxonomy places the organism in Eukaryota, Metazoa, Chordata, Actinopteri, Cyprinodontiformes, Poeciliidae.
UGACGCAAAGGUAACCGCGCUAAGUGCUCGAUGAAUUCAAUACAUUUUCAAAGCUUUAUUGUUUGUGUUUUUUCCCUUUUAAAAGGAAGCAGCAUUGGGAUUUUCAACAACUGAUUGGAGAAAACAGCACUAACAGAGAAGGUUCUUAAUAAUGGAAGCUCCUGCCACCCCUCCCUUCAGCUGUCAGGGCCGGCGCUGCCAUGUGGCGUGUUGGAUGAACUCUGAGCCUUCUGGUUGUAACACCUGGUUUGUUUCUGCUCCUGAUGCAAGACAGUUGUAAAUUCAACUUGUUCCAGUUAAGCCAUCAACACCAAGAUCUACGAUAUUGGCUGUUGUGUGCCAUAGAUGUAAAACUACAGAAUAGCUCUGAUGCUGUGAAAAAAAGGAAAAGAAAAAGG